This is a long non-coding RNA of Thalassophryne amazonica, 247 nucleotides long. RefSeq lists it as uncharacterized. The record is from RefSeq and is a predicted model, not a curated record. Lineage: Eukaryota; Metazoa; Chordata; Actinopteri; Batrachoidiformes; Batrachoididae. The transcript is spliced from 3 exons.
CUGGCAGGGAAGCGCAAACCUCCUCCACCACCCUGAGCAGCAUCCUGGAGGACAGAACUCCCGCCGACUCCACCAGCCUCACAACAGACGUGCGCAGGAGAUGGCCCAAUUUGGUGCACCCCGCCUCCCUCAGGCGGGACCGCAGAGUGGUAGAUGACAACCCAGGAGAGCUAACAAAGUCACUGAAGAAGAAAGGCUCCUCAAACAGCCGCAUCCCAGGGGUACCUGCCAGAAAAAAGAAGACGAA